AGUUUCCGACGACCACGGAGAAUCCUGGUAGAGAAGCUGAAAAAGGAAAUAAACAGUCGUCAUAAAGCGAGCAAUUGAAGAGCUAAUUUUUUUAGCCCGUUUCUUUGUAUAGAAGAUGACGAUUGUUUUAGUAAGUCCGGGGAGAGAUUCGAGUUGCUGCGACUACUAAUGCCGCCGUGGCCACAAUGGCUCACGCUAUGACACUGCACGUAUAGCUUUAUUUCGAAAGAAGUACAGUAAAUCGCAAGUGUAAAGUUACCGUGCUUGGAACCCUUAAUCUGGUCGAUUUUGCAAUGAUUUUGAGUACUUAGCUUAAUGUCCUGUUAUAAUAGCACUUUAAUUAUAAUACUGAUUAAGUGAAAAACUGUUUUAACGCACUAACUUCUAUCUCAACUCUCUUUCUUUUACAUAAACAUUAUAAAGAGAUAGGAAGGCAUUUUCUCUGCGGUAUACUUAUGUAAAUAAUGAAUUACAUUUUUAACAGAUAAAAUGCUCAGUAACGCACAGAAGUAUUCGAUGUGUGUAAAUAAUAUAACGUACGAAAUGAUAUUUACGGGUUUAUUGUAAACAAAGAAUUUUUCUUAUCUUCAAUUUACUCCGACUGGAUUAGGUACAUAAGGAUGAAAGAGACAGAUGAACCGUUGAUGCCCAGUCGUUACCCACCAAUCCAAGAAGCGGAGGAAUCGUCAAUGGCGAUGAUGGAGUCAGGGAGACGCAGCUGGGGGAGUAAUGCGGUCACGAAGCCCAUCACAAGGCCCAUUCCCGCCAUGUUCAGGGACACGCCGAAAGUGACGAAACACUGUAU
This is a long non-coding RNA of Plodia interpunctella (Indianmeal moth), 805 nucleotides long. RefSeq lists it as uncharacterized. Lineage: Eukaryota; Metazoa; Arthropoda; Insecta; Lepidoptera; Pyralidae. The record is from RefSeq and is a predicted model, not a curated record. The transcript is spliced from 2 exons.